This 445-nucleotide ribosomal RNA is filed under the name uncultured bacterium. RNAcentral describes it as "partial 16S ribosomal RNA". It matches the Rfam family "Bacterial small subunit ribosomal RNA", at positions 354 to 796 of the family's 1533-position model. The record is from RNAcentral.
GUAGGGAAUAUUGGGCAAUGGAGGCAACUCUGACCCAGCCAUGCCGCGUGCAGGAUGACGGCCCUCUGGGUUGUAAACUGCUUUUAUACGGGAAGAAAAAAUACUACGUGUAGUAUACUGACGGUACCGUAAGAAUAAGGAUCGGCUAACUCCGUGCCAGCAGCCGCGGUAAUACGGAGGAUCCAAGCGUUGUCCGGAUUUAUUGGGUUUAAAGGGUGCGUAGGCGGAUCUUUAAGUCAGUGGUGAAAGCCUGCAGCUUAACUGUAGAAUUGCCAUUGAAACUGAAGAUCUUGAAUGUGGUUAAAGUAGGCGGAAUGUAUCAUGUAGCAGUGAAAUGCUUAGAUAUUAUACAGAACACCGAUAGCGAAGGCAGCUUGCUGAACCAUUAUUGACGCUGAGGCACGAAAGCGUGGGGAUCAAACAGGAUUAGAAACCCUAGUAGUCC